This 301-nucleotide ribosomal RNA is filed under the name uncultured bacterium. RNAcentral describes it as "partial 16S ribosomal RNA". It matches the Rfam family "Bacterial small subunit ribosomal RNA", at positions 509 to 808 of the family's 1533-position model. The record is from RNAcentral.
CAGCAGCCACGGUAAUACGGAGGGAGCUAGCGUUGUUCGGAAUUACUGGGCGUAAAGCGCGCGUAGGCGGUUACUCAAGUCAGAGGUGAAAGCCCGGGGCUCAACCCCGGAACUGCCUUUGAAACUAGGUGACUAGAAUCUUGGAGAGGUCAGUGGAAUUCCGAGUGUAGAGGUGAAAUUCGUAGAUAUUCGGAAGAACACCAGUGGCGAAGGCGACUGACUGGACAAGUAUUGACGCUGAGGUGCGAAAGCGUGGGGAGCAAACAGGAUUAGAUACCCCUGUAGUCCCUGUCUCUUUACC